CCGGACCUGACUGCUAUCGGAUUGGUACUAAGCCAUGCGAGUCGUUGUAGCAAUACAAGGCGGACGGCUCAGUAACACGUAGUCAACCUAACCUAUGGACGUGGAUAACCUCGGGAAACUGAGAAUAAACCGCGAUAGAUCAUAAUGCCUGGAAUGGCUUAUGGUUAAAAUAAUUUAUUGCCGUAGGAUGGGACUGCGGCCUAUCAGCUUGUUGGUGAGGUAAUGGCCCACCAAGGCUAUAACAGGUACGGGCUCUGAGAGGAGAAGCCCGGAGAUGGGUACUGAGACACGGACCCAGGCCCUAUGGGGCGCAGCAGGCGAGAAACCUUAGCAAUGUGCGAAAGCACGACUAGGUUAAUCCGAGUGAUUUCUGUUGAAGAAAUCUUUUGUUAGUCGUAAAACCACAGACGAAUAAGGGGUGGGCAAGUCUGGCGUCAGCCGCCGCGGUAAUACCAGCACCUCGAGUGGUCAGGAGGUUUAUUGGGCCUAAAGCAUCCGUAGCCGGCUAUGCAAGUCUCCGGUUAAAUCCAACUGCUCAACAGAUGGGCUGCCGGAGAUACUACACAGCUAGGGAGCGGGAGAGGUAGACGGUAUUCUGUGGGUAGGGGUAAAAUCCACUGAUCCAUAGAGGACCACCAGUGGCGAAGGCGGUCUACCAGAACGCGUUCGACGGUGAGGGAUGAAAGCUGGGGGAGCAAACCGGAUUAGAUACCCGGGUAGUCCCAGCUGUAAACGAUGCAAACUCGGUGAUGCAUUGACUUAUGGUCAAUGCAGUGCCGCAGGAAGCCGUUAAGUUUGCCGCCUGGGAAGUACGGACGCAAGUCUGAAACUUAAAGGAAUUGGCGGGGGAGCACACAAGGGUGAAGCCUGCGGUUCAAUUGGAUUCAACGC
RNAcentral lists this ribosomal RNA (891 nucleotides) under uncultured archaeon. Its description in RNAcentral is "bacterial SSU rRNA". It matches the Rfam family "Archaeal small subunit ribosomal RNA", at positions 17 to 918 of the family's 1478-position model. The record is from RNAcentral.